Molecule: long non-coding RNA, 1709 nt
Filed under: Pan troglodytes (chimpanzee)
Lineage: Eukaryota; Metazoa; Chordata; Mammalia; Primates; Hominidae
Description: long non-coding RNA NONPTRT010892
Source: RNAcentral
CAAAAAUAUUCAGUAGUAGCUACUUUAUUCAAUAAAUCAGUCAGUCCAUUGUCAACCAAUAUUUAGAGUGUCUACCAUGGGCGGGGCACUGAUCUACAUACCUGGGACACAAGGAGGAUUACUGUGCUUGAGGAUAUUAUUUUCUAGUAGAAGGAGACAAGCAAUAAAUAGCUAACAGAAUUUAUGGGUGUAUUACAUAGCAUGUUAAGAUGAUUAGAAAAAAGAAAGUGCACAGCAAACAGUGUGUUCGGGAGUGCUGGGGGACAGAAUGAGGAAGUCCAUUGCAGAUUUAAAUGGGGUGGUCAAGGAGGGCUUCAUUGAGGAGACAUCUGAGCAAACAUUUCAGAGGUCAGAGAACUAGUCAUGAGGGCAUCGCAGGGAGAUGCAUGCCCAGUGGGGAGAGCAGUUCUUGCAAUGGCCCUAUAGCAGGAGUGCCUAGUUUGUUGGAGGAACAGCAAGAGGGACAUUGGGGCUGGAGCAGAGCAAAGCAAGGUGGAGAGUUGUAUGAGAAAGGGCCAGAGAGAGAACAGGGAGUGACAGUUUUGCAGUCUACCGUAAAGACCUUGGUGUUUAUUCCGAGUUAAAUAUGGAGGCUUUGAAAAAUUUUGAGCAGAGAGUGAAUAAGAUUCGACUUAUAUUUGAAAGGGAUCACUCUGUUGGUCAUAUUCAUAAUAGACUGAAUGGGAAGGCACGAGCAGAACCAGGGAGAGCAGUUAGAAGGCAAUUGCAAUAAUUCAGGGACAAGGUGAUGGUGGCUUAGACCAUUAUGGUGGCAUAGAAGUGGUGAGAAAUAGUCAGAUUUUAAACAUGCUUUGAAAGUAGAACCGAAGGAUGGUUGUGUUUGCUUCCUGGGAAGGGUUGAGCUUAUAACAAGCGUCUUGGUUGUGAAUUGAAUUCUGUUGAUGUAGUUGAAAUUCUGAGUGCUUGAGCCUCCUCACCUUUUCCAAUGAUGAAGAGAGAAUGCCUAGGGUAGCCAUCUUAGCUCAGUGUGGGCUCAUGUUUGACCCUCAUUAAGGAUGGGAAGAAUUUGUUCCAAAUAUGUGGGCUUCAUUUUGCAUCCUGUUGAUGGAUGUUCUUUAUCAUAAUAAGAAAUGUGUAUUUCAUGAAAUCAAAAGUUCCUUUGGUGAAGGAAGUCUGUUAUAGUCUUCAAAAACAUAAUUAUCAAAAUGGUUUGUUUACUAUAACGUUUAGAGUCAGUGUAAAAGAUCAAUGAAUGAAGUGGCUUCUAGAGACGGACAUGCCAGUUGCAAAUUUCCGUGCUGCUACGUAACUAGUUUAUCUUAUUUACUUUAUUAACCCUAUCUUAUAGCAUUGUCAGCAAUAAAGAAAUUUACAUAUCUGAAUAACUUGGAACUUUCUACAUAAUACUAUGCUAUUAGGAUUUAAUUAAAUGGAUGCCAACAGCAAGUAAACCAUCUCCAAAGAUGCCAUGAAGCUCUCCUAAUUGCAGGAAAAUAUCAGAGGCACUUGAUUUGAGUCUUUCAAGUACAGAAAUAACAAAUUCAGUCUCAACAGACCUAUAGUGAAUGAGAAUGAUUGUCACAUAAUGUGUAGAGAAAAUGGAAGAAUCAAAGGCAAGGCAAACCUGUACAGUGGAGACACAAAAGGUCACUGGCAGAUUUCAAAUGAUCCAAGACAUCCUCAAAAUCCUUCCAAACCACAAGGAAAAUCACCAGGCCAAAAGUGAGGUUUGAAGUCUGGACAUGUAC